UACGUAGGUGGCAAGCGUUGUCCGGAUUUAUUGGGUUUAAAGGGUGCGUAGGCGGUUCCUUAAGUCAGUGGUGAAAUACUUCAGCUCAACUGGAGAGGUGCCAUUGAUACUGGGGAACUUGAGUACUGAUGAGGUAGGCGGAAUGGACGGUGUAGCGGUGAAAUGCUUAGAUAUCGUCCAGAGCACCGAUAGCGAAGGCAGCUUACUAAGGAGUAACUGACGCUGAGGCACGAAAGUGUGGGGAGCGAACAGG
This 253-nucleotide ribosomal RNA is filed under the name uncultured bacterium. RNAcentral's name for it is "partial 16S ribosomal RNA". It matches the Rfam family "Bacterial small subunit ribosomal RNA", at positions 524 to 776 of the family's 1533-position model. The record is from RNAcentral.